RNAcentral lists this unclassified non-coding RNA (258 nucleotides) under compost metagenome. RNAcentral describes it as "partial contains 5.8S ribosomal RNA, internal transcribed spacer 2, and large subunit ribosomal RNA". The stretch from base 1 to 104 matches the Rfam family "5.8S ribosomal RNA", at positions 50 to 154 of the family's 154-position model. The record is from RNAcentral. RNAcentral also lists the same sequence under 2 other names.
GAAAUGCGAUACCUAGUGUGAAUUGCAGCCAUCGUGAAUCAUCGAGUUCUUGAACGCACAUUGCGCCCCAUGGUAUUCCAUGGGGCAUGCCUGUCUGAGCGUCGUUUCCUUCUUGCGCAAGCAGAGUUGAGAACAGGCUAUGCCUUUUUCGAAAUGGAACGUCGUGGACGAAGUGAACUAAACUUUUAGCACGCUUUGGCCGCCGAACUUUUAACUAAGCUCGACCUCAGAUCAGGUAGGAAUACCCGCUGAACUUAA